ACAAUGAUAAUAACAAUGUCAAUAACAAUACGAGUAACCGGCUAGUCCGGACAACCAAAUACCUAGCCGAACAUAUCACGUGCCCCCACCGUCUCAGCCUCAAAAGGUUCAAUCAACUACAACACACUACAAGGCAUAAUCAUCACCUAUACCUAUGCAAGGGCUGAUAGAUAUAGGCGCAUACUGGUGAUAGGGAAUGCACAUGCAAGGUUGAAUACAACUGAAUCUACAAUACCAUA
Molecule: long non-coding RNA, 239 nt
Filed under: Capsicum annuum
Lineage: Eukaryota; Viridiplantae; Streptophyta; Magnoliopsida; Solanales; Solanaceae
Description: long non-coding RNA (CANN_LNC022432)
Source: RNAcentral